GUGGGGAAUAUUGGACAAUGGGCGAAAGCCUGAUCCAGCCAUGCCGCGUGUGUGAAGAAGGCCUUUUGGUUGUAAAGCACUUUAAGCGAGGAGGAGGCUACUUAGAUUAAUACUCUAGGAUAGUGGACGUUACUCGCAGAAUAAGCACCGGCUAACUCUGUGCCAGCAGCCGCGGUAAUACAGAGGGUGCGAGCGUUAAUCGGAUUUACUGGGCGUAAAGCGUGCGUAGGCGGCUUCUUAAGUCGGAUGUGAAAUCCCUGAGCUUAACUUAGGAAUUGCAUUCGAUACUGGGAAGCUAGAGUAUGGGAGAGGAUGGUAGAAUUCCAGGUGUAGCGGUGAAAUGCGUAGAGAUCUGGAGGAAUACCGAUGGCGAAGGCAGCCAUCUGGCCUAAUACUGACGCUGAGGUACGAAAGCAUGGGGAGCAAACAGGAUUAGAUACCCCGGUAGUCC
RNAcentral lists this ribosomal RNA (451 nucleotides) under uncultured bacterium. RNAcentral's name for it is "partial 16S ribosomal RNA". It matches the Rfam family "Bacterial small subunit ribosomal RNA", at positions 354 to 796 of the family's 1533-position model. The record is from RNAcentral.